GACGAACGCUGGCGGCGUGCUUAACACAUGCCAGUCGAACGGAAAGGCCCUGCUUGCGGGGUACUCGAGUGGCGAACGGGUGAGUAACACGUGGGUGAUCUGCCCUGCACUUCUGGAUAAGCCUGGGAAACUGGGUCUAAUACCGGAUAGGAGCCAUUUUUAGUGUGAUGGUUGGAAAGUUUUUUCGGUGUAGGAUGAGCUCGCGGCCUAUCAGCUUGUUGGUGGGGUAAUGGCCUACCAAGGCGGCGAAGGGUAGCCGGCCUGAGGGGGUGGACGGCCACAUUGGGGCUGGGAUACGGCCCAGACUCCUACGGGGGGCAGCAGGGGGGAAUAUUGCACAAUGGGCGCAAGCCUGAUGCAGCGACGCCGCGUGGGGGAUGACGGCCUUCGGGUUGUAAACUCCUUUCGCUAGGGACGAAGCUUUUUGUGACGGUACCUAGAUAAGAAGCACCGGCUAACUACGUG
This 465-nucleotide ribosomal RNA is filed under the name uncultured bacterium. RNAcentral's name for it is "partial 16S ribosomal RNA". It matches the Rfam family "Bacterial small subunit ribosomal RNA", at positions 28 to 507 of the family's 1533-position model. The record is from RNAcentral.